GAUGAACGCUAGCGGCAGGCCUAAUACAUGCAAGACGAACGGUAAGUUGAGUAGCAAUACUUAGCCAAGAGUGUCGUACGGGUGCGUAACACGUAUGCAACCUACCCUAUACAGGAGGAUAGCCUAGGGAAACCUGGACUUAACCCUUCAUAGUAUUAUUGGAUGGCAUCAUUUGAUAAUUAAAACUGAGGUGGUAUAGGAUGGGCAUGCGUCUGAUUAGUUAGUUGGCGGGGUAAUGGCCCACCAAGACGAUGAUCAGUAGGGGUUCUGAGAGGAAGACUCCCCCACACUGGGCACUGAGAUACGGGCCAGACUCC
Molecule: ribosomal RNA, 317 nt
Filed under: uncultured bacterium
Lineage: Bacteria
Description: bacterial SSU rRNA
Rfam family: Bacterial small subunit ribosomal RNA
Source: RNAcentral